This 119-nucleotide ribosomal RNA is filed under the name Oncorhynchus kisutch (coho salmon). The record is from RNAcentral. Lineage: Eukaryota; Metazoa; Chordata; Actinopteri; Salmoniformes; Salmonidae.
GCUUACGACCACACCGGCCUGAGUACGCCUGAUCUCGUCUGAUCUCGGAAGCUAAGCAGGGUCGGGCCUGGUUAGUACUUGGAUCGGAGACUGCCUGGGAAUACCAGGUGCUGUAAGCU